This 962-nucleotide long non-coding RNA is filed under the name Populus tremula. RNAcentral describes it as "long non-coding RNA (PTRE_LNC001690)". Lineage: Eukaryota; Viridiplantae; Streptophyta; Magnoliopsida; Malpighiales; Salicaceae. The record is from RNAcentral.
UGCUUUUAAGUCUUUUGUUGCCACCACACACAGCUAGAAAGGCCGCUUCUUGAACUUCUUUAGUCACCCCACGACAAAUGGCAACAUUAUGCCCUUCCUCUCUUGAUAAAUGCCAUUUGAUCCUUGAAAUGGAGGUUUUAUUGGCAAAUGUAUGUGGACAAAACUUACACUUCAUGCUACCAUCUGCCCUAUCUUCAAUAUAAUUCCAAUAUGGAUCCUUUGAUCCAACCAUAUCAACCUAUAGAAAAAAAAAGAGGGUCAAAAUAAAGAAUAAAAAUUGAUGGAAGUUACACCAUAUCCAGAUGGAAGAGAAACUACUUAAGCGCUGUUACCCUUAUUUUGCUAUUAAAAUUGAUAGUUAGUUUAUUGCACAAUCAUAGGAGGGAAAAAGACGACAAUAAUUUAGUUAGACUUCUUACUUGUUCAGUAUUUAAACCUCUAAUUUGACUUUGCAGGGAAGUGUCAAGGCCAGGAUUUGAGGCAUUUGGCGUAGCAGUUUGAUUUUGCAAUCCUCUGACUUGGAGGUCAUCCUUGGAGUUGGAGCUUACUUCGUCGUUUCCUGCUAUUGCAUGUGAAGAAAUCCUCUCUUCCCCUACUCUGGGUUCUACAACCUGAACUUCUCUUUGUACCCUUCCAGUACCUCGUCCCAUAUUUUCAAUCUUAAUGUUUUGUUCUUGUGGACAAGUUGAAAUUCCAGAAUCAGUAACAUUGAUUGAACUUUCUGUGCUUUUAAGUCUUUUGUUGCCACCACACAUAGCUAGAAAGGCCGCUUCUUGAAUUUCUUUAGUCACCCCACGACAAAUGGCAACAUUAUGCCCUUCCUCUCUUGAUAAAUGCCAUUUGAUCCUUGAAAUGGAGGUUUUAUUGGCAAAUGUAUGUGGACAAAACUUACACUUCAUGCUACCAUCAGCCAUAUCUUCAAUAUAAUUCCAAAAUGGAUCCUUUGAUCCAACCAUUUCAAC